Molecule: long non-coding RNA, 479 nt
Filed under: Heterocephalus glaber (naked mole-rat)
Lineage: Eukaryota; Metazoa; Chordata; Mammalia; Rodentia; Bathyergidae
Description: lncRNA (ENSHGLG00100046337.1)
Source: RNAcentral
UGUCACCCCAACAGUGGGCUCCUUCUUCCUGAGGAGCCGCCCACUGCCUGACACCUAGAAGCGCGGAUAAUCUGCUACACAAAGCCUCUCAGAUCGGGAAUCACAAAAACUGUAUGUACCCGAGAGCACAAAUCAUUGUGAAGGGAGCUCAUCUCUGUCAGUUGCCCCGGCGGCCCAUUACAAGACCGGCAAAAGGGGAGGCGCAGCGCCAUCUGGUGUCCAUGUAGGGAAGAGCGGAGACCGCUGAGGAAUUGCUACCAAGUAGCUGUGAAAACCAGAAGGGGCUGUCUAGUGUGGCGGAGAAAAUUCCUGUCCUGUUAACAUCUUGAAACCUGUUCAAGAGGAUCAUUGGGGCCUUCACCCAGGUCUGCCUGGGUGUGCUGGGACUAGAAAGAUAAGAAAAUUUACCCAGAAGAGAUCCAAAAUGGCAUACGAUAGUUGCUACUGUAUUGUGAGAACCUCGUCUUGGGCACUUGGAC